RNAcentral lists this long non-coding RNA (1107 nucleotides) under Rattus norvegicus (Norway rat). Its description in RNAcentral is "long non-coding RNA NONRATT029468". Lineage: Eukaryota; Metazoa; Chordata; Mammalia; Rodentia; Muridae. The record is from RNAcentral.
GCUCCGGCCUCGGCCGCACCCCCGCCGGCUCGCCGCCGCCGCCUCCCCACAGCGGACUAGUCUGCGAGGGCGGCGACCAGCCCGGCUUAUUUAAAAGGGGUGGGGACCCGACAAGCGCUGGGAGACGCAGCCACUGCGGGCCGAGAGCGCGGCCGGAGCUCCUCCUCCUUCCGUCGCCGCCUCCGGACUGAAGGCCGCUAGCCGGCUCCUGCCAACCGGAACGCGCUCCGCGGUCACCUGGUGACGGGUAGCCAAUCAGACCUGGAUUUCCCUCCACGCACCCGCCUACGGCCCAGGCACGUGACUCACAAAGCCCCUCCCCGUCCCUCAAGCUGAGCCGCGCGGACUCUGAUUUCCAUUCAUCGCGAGCUGAGCGGAGUUGGGCUCCAGCUUGGCAGCUGCGGCAGUUUGUUACUCGAGGCCGCGCUUCAAGGCGGGCCCCGAAGGCCCAGCCUGGUGGAGAGUUGAUUUUAUCAGCAGUGUGGUUUCUCCAUGUUUGACAGCUUCCCUUUGCUCACCCAAGCACCUGCCAGAACCAUGUGAUAGUCUGGACGUUUCCUGGCCUCCUUGUAAAGAAGAUAAAGGGACACCCACACCCUUGGAUGUGUUUCUGAGUGUUGUCCUGAUCUUUCCAAACAUUUCAUCAGAAGACCCAGAUAGUAGUGUGGGCCAAAGAACAGAGCCAGCCUUUGUGCUGAGGAUCCCAUCACCACCCAUUGCUGAAGAAGAAUCAGGCCCCAGGACGGUAUGGAAAACACACCUGACACUACAAAUCUAGACUGUGAAACUGGCUCUCACCACAUGCCGUCUUCUCACCCUUCUCCACUGAAAAAGAAAAGGGAAAUGUAUGAUAACCAAUUAGAAGAGGACAGGGAAUCCUCUAUUAAAGCUUAAUAGUAAUUACUAUAUUUAGCUUCUUACAGAACUAAAAAAUACAUAUUAUUGUAAAGAUGUUAAGAACUGCACAUAAAGAUGAAAAUAAAACCAGACCCCAUCCCAGGAUACCCCUGCUUUUUUAGCAUUUUAUGGCAUACUUCCCUAAACUUUAAUAAAAUGUUUCAGUGAUUUAAAAGUGAAACAGUGCUACCUAUAUAGUUUCUCUGUCUU